Molecule: ribosomal RNA, 253 nt
Filed under: uncultured bacterium
Lineage: Bacteria
Description: partial 16S ribosomal RNA
Rfam family: Bacterial small subunit ribosomal RNA
Source: RNAcentral
UACGUAGGGUGCGAGCGUUGUCCGGAAUUAUUGGGCGUAAAGGGCUCGUAGGCGGUCUGUCACGUCGGCUGUGAAAUCCCGAGGCUCAACCUCGGGUCUGCAGUCGAUACGGGCAAACUAGAGUAUUGCAGGGGAGACUGGAAUUCCUGGUGUAGCGGUGAAAUGCGCAGAUAUCAGGAGGAACACCGGUGGCGAAGGCGGGUCUCUGGGCAAUAACUGACGCUGAGGAGCGAAAGCGUGGGGAGCGAACAGG